CAGUAGCCGCGGUAAUACGUAGGUGGCAAGCGUUGUCCGGAAUUAUUGGGCGUAAAGGGCUCGCAGGCGGUUUCUUAAGUCUGAUGUGAAAGCCCCCGGCUCAACCGGGGAGGGUCAUUGGAAACUGGGAAACUUGAGUGCAGAAGAGGAGAGUGGAAUUCCACGUGUAGCGGUGAAAUGCGUAGAGAUGUGGAGGAACACCAGUGGCGAAGGCGACUCUCUGGUCUGUAACUGACGCUGAGGAGCGAAAGCGUGGGGGGCGAACAGGAUUAGAGACCCCGGUAGUCCCUGUCUCUUAUAC
Molecule: ribosomal RNA, 301 nt
Filed under: uncultured bacterium
Lineage: Bacteria
Description: partial 16S ribosomal RNA
Rfam family: Bacterial small subunit ribosomal RNA
Source: RNAcentral